AUGAAACAGAGGGAGGCAGGUGUAGAAGCAUGGAGAUGUGGCCAAGACAGAGAGAAGGACGAGACGUUUCUCCUAAAAAGAGAAGAAAUGAUGGACGAAUGGAGGGCAGGAAACGAGAGAGGGAGGGACGAGUCUUUUACCUCUCAGGCAAGAGAUGAAGAGAUGGACGAAUGGAGGGCUGGAAUGGAGAGAGGGAGGGAGGAAUCUCAUCUGCUGGAGAUGAGAAGUGGAAGGAUGGAAGUGUGGCGCGGGGAGACAAACCAGCAAGAGACUUUUAUAACACAGAAGAACGACUUUGGGAUUGAUGGAUGGAGAGGUGGGAUGGACAGAGAAAAAGACGAAUCCUUGUUUUUAAAGGACAGGGAUGGGUGGAGAGCGGGGAUCGAACGAGAGAGUGAGAAACAGAAGGAUCGAGCGCUGGAUGUGUGGAGAGGAGGAAUGGAUAUAGACAGGGACGAAUCUUUCCUGUUCGAGAGCAAAGACGGCGGUCUCGACGGGAGGAAAAGAGGGAAAGAUAGAGGGUCUCUUCGGUAUCACGGCGAACGGGAAGAUUCUGACAGCUUCGCUCUACCUUUGACCCCUGACCUCGACCUCGACACUGACUCCUCACCUAUCUACGCUCAAGAUCUAAACCCCUCCCCACUCUACCCAGGAGAGCGACGCUCGCCUCCCCUCGGCAUCUUCCCCCGAAGCUCCCCGCCAACGAACAUCUUCGCCCCGCGAGAAACUAACUCGCCUCCAAACAAUCUCUACUCGCGCCACUCCCCCCAGAUGUACAGCCGGAGCAGCUCCCCGCCGCGCUUCUACACACGCACCUCCCCUCCGACCCUCUCGUACCCGGACAGCAGCCCGGAAGGUCCAGAAGAGGUCAGCAGCCCCGUUGGGCAGCCUCAGCGGCCGGCCCUGGAGCUGCCCUACAGCCUGGGCCGACCCCCGCUGGGCCCACGGCCCAAUCACCUGCAGACCUUCUACCAGCCUCCGCCGCUGCCGUCCAACGGGGAGGCAGCGUACUCAGCGGAGCCCACGUCGGAGGGAGAGGACGGACAGAUGCAGCGGGUGACCAGCCUGUGA
Long non-coding RNA from Gasterosteus aculeatus (three-spined stickleback), 1071 nucleotides. Lineage: Eukaryota; Metazoa; Chordata; Actinopteri; Perciformes; Gasterosteidae. The record is from Ensembl.